CCGAUCGUACAAGCACACACAUAUAUAUAAUUCAUCUUAAAAGCGAGAUUUAGCUGAGUGAAAUAUUCCCAGAACAGAUUUGUUCAACAUUUUGUUGUCGCUCAGUUAUCUUUGCACUGACUUGAGCUCUCGUCUCGGGACUGGGACCAACUGCUGUCGCUGCUCUCGUUGUCGUUGUCAACUUAAAGGAGUUGGAUUCAUCAUCGUUGGUCUUUUUGGCCGUUCGUCUACUUCGAAGCAGAAGUUUCAUUUCUAUAAAAUUGUUGACUGGAAUUUCAGUCGUCUUAUUUUAUAUCAUUCUAGCUCCAGGCCUCCUCAAGCAGUCGUCAUGGCUUAAGAAAGAGCUUUACUGUGGUUGUUAAACAGGCUAAACGUUUUAUAGCCGGUAGGUGACGUCCAAACUGAGAUGGCGACAGAGUGCGGGGUCAGUGCAGAUAGGAAUUGUAUUUCAAUUCAGGUUAAUUUUUUCAAUUUAUAAGAAAUCAUUUACACAAAUUAAAAUGAAUUACAUAUAUCACGCUGUUCUCUGCUA
Drosophila nasuta is the source of this 532-nucleotide long non-coding RNA. RefSeq lists it as uncharacterized. NCBI's taxonomy places the organism in Eukaryota, Metazoa, Arthropoda, Insecta, Diptera, Drosophilidae. The record is from RefSeq and is a predicted model, not a curated record. The transcript has 3 exons.